Small nuclear RNA from Lepus europaeus (European hare), 107 nucleotides. Lineage: Eukaryota; Metazoa; Chordata; Mammalia; Lagomorpha; Leporidae. The record is from RefSeq and is a predicted model, not a curated record.
GUGCUCACUUUGGCAGCACAUAUACUAAAAUAGGAAUGAUACAGAGAAUAUUAGCAUGUCCCCUGUGAAAUGAUGACAUGCAAAUUCGUGAAGCUUUCCAUAUUUUU